RNAcentral lists this ribosomal RNA (319 nucleotides) under uncultured eukaryote. Its description in RNAcentral is "partial 18S ribosomal RNA". It matches the Rfam family "Eukaryotic small subunit ribosomal RNA", at positions 1470 to 1796 of the family's 1831-position model. The record is from RNAcentral.
CCCUUAGAUGUUCUGGGCAGCACGCGCGCUACAAUGGUCUUCGCAAACGGAUGCAUUCUCGAAGGAGAAUGCCAAUCUUGGAAUCUAUGCCUUGGUCGGGACAGUUGCUUGCAAUUUUUCGACUCGAACCAGGAAUUCCUUGUAAUCGUGAUUCAUCACAUCACGAUGAAUACGUCCCUGCCCUUUGUACACACCGCCCGUCGCUCCUACCGAUCGAAGAGUUAGGUGAAUUGUUUUGAUCGAUAAGAUUUGACUAUGGUCAACUCUCGUUGUGAAAUUCUGUAAAUCUGACUGUUUAGAGGAAGGAAAAGUCGUAACA